UACGUAGGGUGCGAGCGUUAAUCGGAAUUACUGGGCGUAAAGCGUGCGUAGGCGGUUUCAUAAGCUUGAUGUGAAAUCCCCAGGCUUAACCUGGGAAUGGCAUUGAAGACUGUGGAGCUGGAGUGCGGCAGAGGGAGGUGGAAUUCCAGGUGUAGCAGUGAAAUGCGUAGAGAUCUGGAGGAACACCGAUGGCGAAGGCAGCCUCCUGGGCCGACACUGACGCUGAGGGCACGAAAGCGUGGGGAGCAAA
RNAcentral lists this ribosomal RNA (250 nucleotides) under uncultured bacterium. RNAcentral describes it as "partial 16S ribosomal RNA". It matches the Rfam family "Bacterial small subunit ribosomal RNA", at positions 524 to 772 of the family's 1533-position model. The record is from RNAcentral.